This 305-nucleotide long non-coding RNA is filed under the name Elaeis guineensis (African oil palm). Its description in RNAcentral is "long non-coding RNA (EGUI_LNC064638)". Lineage: Eukaryota; Viridiplantae; Streptophyta; Magnoliopsida; Arecales; Arecaceae. The record is from RNAcentral.
AGCCCUGAAGGACACAAAUGGAGAUAAGAUCUCUCCAAAUCCAAUCUUCAAAUUAAUAGAGCUCCGAGAGCUACAAAUGGAGAUAAGAUCUCUCAAAUAUCGAUCUACGAAUCGAUAUUAUCUUUCAUCUCAUAUAAAUACUGACCUUAAGAUCGAAGUUAUUUUAAUAUUCUAUCAAAUACAGAUCUCUAAAUCAAAGUUAUUUUGAAAUUUUAUUGUUGAUCUCCAGAUCAAAGUCAUCUUGAAAUUCUAAUAUCGAUCUCCGAAUCGAAGUUAUUUUGAAAUUCUAUUAAAUAUCAAUCUCC